AAGAGUUCGUAGGUGGUUGAAAAAGUUAGUGGUGAAAUCCCAGAGCUUAACUCUGGAACUGCCAUUAAAACUUUUCAGCUAGAGUAUGAUAGAGGAAAGCAGAAUUUCUAGUGUAGAGGUGAAAUUCGUAGAUAUUAGAAAGAAUACCAAUUGCGAAGGCAGCUUUCUGGAUCAUUACUGACACUGAGGAACGAAAGCAUGGGUAGCGAAGAGGAUUAGAUACCCUCGUAGUCCAUGCCGUAAACGAUGUGUGUUAGACGUUGGAAAUUUAUUUUCAGUGUCGCAGGGAAACCGAUAAACACACCGCCUGGGGAGUACGACCGCAAGGUUAAAACUCAAAUGAAUUGACGGGGACCCGCACAAGUAGUGGAGCAUGUGGUUUAAUUCGAAGAUACGCGCAGAACCUUACCAACACUUGACAUGUUCGUCGCGACGCUAAGAGAUUAGAGUUUUCGGUUCGGCCGGACGAAACACAGGUGCUGCAUGGCUGUCGUCAGCUCGUGUCGUGAGAUGUUGGGUUAAGUCCCGCAACGAGCGCAACCCUCACUUUUAGUUGGCAUCAUUAAGUUGGGCACUCUGAAAGAACUGCCAGUGAUAAGCUGGAGGAAGGUAGGGAUGACGUCAAGUCCUCAUGGCCCUUACGUGUUGGGCUACACACGUGCUACAAUGGUAUCUACAACAGGAAGCAAGACUGCGAAGUUAAGCAAAUCCCUAAAAGAUACCUCAGUUCGGAUU
Molecule: ribosomal RNA, 735 nt
Filed under: uncultured bacterium
Lineage: Bacteria
Description: bacterial SSU rRNA
Rfam family: Bacterial small subunit ribosomal RNA
Source: RNAcentral